GUAAAGCAAACUGUCCUUGUGCCUGAGGGAAAUUACGGAGCCUCACACUUUCAUCCAGAGAGGGACAAAGGGGAGGUCAGGUGCUGCGUCUGACAGAAGUGGGGACGUGUGAAACGUGAUUAACCCAGGAAGGAGCCAGACAGAGCCGGCUGGGGCCUCCACGGCCCCUGUGUGUUUCCCAGGGUCAGGAGCAGGAGGAAAAAGGAGGGAGGCAAUUUUCAAGACUGGCACUGAUGCUUUAAAAGGAUUCUUCAUAGAAUACCUGAACUGUGGAAUAGAUGCUUUUGUUGUGCCUUCUGUAACACUGAGGGAAGUAGCAGAACGAUGUUCACUCGAAGAGGGCAUGAGAGAGCCAUACCUAGAAUGAAUUAUGGAUCCAUCCAGUGUCCCAUGCACCCUGUAUGUCAAGCCUUGUAGAACGGAACUUCAGCCUUAGACUCCCUGGGCUACCAUCAAGGACUGAACGGCCAGUGUUCCUUCUGGAGGCACCAGAGAAGGUUUAUCUUCUUGCCUUUUCCAUCUUCUAGAAGCUGCUCCCUUCCUUCAUUUUCAAAGCCAAUGGAGUCGGACCUAUCCAUCAUGCCAACUUUUCUGUACUCAGGUGCAGCCUGAGAAGGUUCUCUGUUUGGAAAGACUACCAGGAUCAGACUGAACCCACCUCUGUAAUCCAGGAUGAUCUCAUCUCAAGAAGCCACGUCCCUGGAAUCUCUGUCAGCCUGCUGCAAUAGUCAAGCCCAUGACGACAUCAUGUGGAAAGUGCAGGGCCCUCGGAGAGAGGCCCAAAACUACUACCCACUGGCUCCGGGAAAUCAACCGAGUUGCUAAACUUCUCCAAUGUUUUCAUUUCUUCAUUCUGUAAAUAAGGCUAAUAAUACUGCCCCAUAGAGCUAUUGUUAGUUCUUUGAGAAUGUCUCUUUCACCACUACAUCCCUGGUACCUUAUAAACCACAUGGGAUACAUAAGAGACUCAAUGAGUGAAUGAAUAUAUAUGAACCCCAAAUAUAGUGCAUGACACUGAAAAGGUAUUGAUUUAAUAUCAUUUUCUAAUUUUUAUUGCAGACGCAGGAAAUAAAUCCUAAUUCCCAGGUGUUCUGCGAUUAUAAAACUCGUUCCUCUCCUUGUUCAGCCACUCUACAGCACAUUUCCCAAGUGAUGAUACUGCAGUUACAAAGAAGGAAUAUGAGGAAUUCUUAAAUGGCAUCAUUGUCAAUUGUAGCGAGAGAUUCUAAAAAAAUACUUCAAUAUUUAUACCUUCAUCUCCCAUAUAUUCCAUUGUGUUGUAAAUCCCCCUCAUUAAAUUAAUGAUAUUUACCCAUUUGAGGAUCAUCA
Artibeus jamaicensis (Jamaican fruit-eating bat) is the source of this 1329-nucleotide long non-coding RNA. RefSeq lists it as uncharacterized. The record is from RefSeq and is a predicted model, not a curated record. The transcript is spliced from 6 exons. Lineage: Eukaryota; Metazoa; Chordata; Mammalia; Chiroptera; Phyllostomidae.